RNAcentral lists this ribosomal RNA (1472 nucleotides) under Staphylococcus aureus subsp. aureus 120. RNAcentral's name for it is "bacterial LSU rRNA". It matches the Rfam family "Bacterial large subunit ribosomal RNA", at positions 1449 to 2925 of the family's 2925-position model. The record is from RNAcentral. Lineage: Bacteria; Bacillati; Bacillota; Bacilli; Caryophanales; Staphylococcaceae.
UAAUCGUUUUAAUCGAUGGGGGGACGCAGUAGGAUAGGCGAAGCGUGCGAUUGGAUUGCACGUCUAAGCAGUAAGGCUGAGUAUUAGGCAAAUCCGGUACUCGUUAAGGCUGAGCUGUGAUGGGGAGAAGACAUUGUGUCGUCGAGUCGUUGAUUUCACACUGCCGAGAAAAGCCUCUAGAUAGAAAAUAGGUGCCCGUACCGCAAACCGACACAGGUAGUCAAGAUGAGAAUUCUAAGGUGAGCGAGCGAACUCUCGUUAAGGAACUCGGCAAAAUGACCCCGUAACUUCGGGAGAAGGGGGGCUCUUUAGGGUUAACGCCCAGAAGAGCCGCAGUGAAUAGGCCCAAGCGACUGUUUAUCAAAAACACAGGUCUCUGCUAAACCGUAAGGUGAUGUAUAGGGGCUGACGCCUGCCCGGUGCUGGAAGGUUAAGAGGAGUGGUUAGCUUCUGCGAAGCUACGAAUCGAAGCCCCAGUAAACGGCGGCCGUAACUAUAACGGUCCUAAGGUAGCGAAAUUCCUUGUCGGGUAAGUUCCGACCCGCACGAAAGGCGUAACGAUUUGGGCACUGUCUCAACGAGAGACUCGGUGAAAUCAUAGUACCUGUGAAGAUGCAGGUUACCCGCGACAGGACGGAAAGACCCCGUGGAGCUUUACUGUAGCCUGAUAUUGAAAUUCGGCACAGCUUGUACAGGAUAGGUAGGAGCCUUUGAAACGUGAGCGCUAGCUUACGUGGAGGCGCUGGUGGGAUACUACCCUAGCUGUGUUGGCUUUCUAACCCGCACCACUUAUCGUGGUGGGAGACAGUGUCAGGCGGGCAGUUUGACUGGGGCGGUCGCCUCCUAAAAGGUAACGGAGGCGCUCAAAGGUUCCCUCAGAAUGGUUGGAAAUCAUUCAUAGAGUGUAAAGGCAUAAGGGAGCUUGACUGCGAGACCUACAAGUCGAGCAGGGUCGAAAGACGGACUUAGUGAUCCGGUGGUUCCGCAUGGAAGGGCCAUCGCUCAACGGAUAAAAGCUACCCCGGGGAUAACAGGCUUAUCUCCCCCAAGAGUUCACAUCGACGGGGAGGUUUGGCACCUCGAUGUCGGCUCAUCGCAUCCUGGGGCUGUAGUCGGUCCCAGGGUGGGCUGUUCGCCCAUUAAAGCGGUACGCGAGCUGGGUUCAGAACGUCGUGAGACAGUUCGGUCCCUAUCCGUCGUGGGCGUAGGAAAUUUGAGAGGAGCUGUCCUUAGUACGAGAGGACCGGGAUGGACAUACCUCUGGUGUACCAGUUGUCGUGCCAACGGCAUAGCUGGGUAGCUAUGUGUGGACGGGAUAAGUGCUGAAAGCAUCUAAGCAUGAAGCCCCCCUCAAGAUGAGAUUUCCCAACUUCGGUUAUAAGAUCCCUCAAAGAUGAUGAGGUUAAUAGGUUCGAGGUGGAAGCAUGGUGACAUGUGGAGCUGACGAAUACUAAUCGAUCGAAGACUUAAUC